GAUGAACGCUAGCGGCAGGCUUAACACAUGCAAGUCGAGGGGUGGGAGAAGCUUGCUUUUCUGAGACCGGCGCACGGGUGCGUAACGCGUAUGCAAUCUACCUUUCACAGAGGGAUAGCCCAGAGAAAUUUGGAUUAAUACCUCAUAGUAAUACGCCUUGGCAUCAAGAUGUAUUUAAAGAUUUAUCGGUGAAAGAUGAGCAUGCGUCCCAUUAGCUAGUUGGUAUGGUAACGGCAUACCAAGGCAACGAUGGGUAGGGGUCCUGAGAGGGAGAUCCCCCACACUGGUACUGAGACACGGACCAGACUCCUACGGGAGGCAGCAGUGAGGAAUAUUGGACAAUGGGCGCAAGCCUGAUCCAGCCAUGCCGCGUGCAGGAUGACGGUCCUAUGGAUUGUAAACUGCUUUUAUGCGGGAAGAAACACCUCUACGUGUAGAGACUUGACGGUACUGUAAGAAUAAGGAUCGGCUAACUCCGUGCCAGCAGCCGCGGUAAUACGGAGGAUCCAAGCGUUAUCCGGAAUCAUUGGGUUUAAAGGGUCCGUAGGCGGUCAGAUAAGUCAGUGGUGAAAGCCCAUCGCUCAACGGUGGAACGGCCAUUGAUACUGUCUGACUUGAAUUAUUAGGAAGUAACUAGAAUAUGUAGUGUAGCGGUGAAAUGCUUAGAGAUUACAUGGAAUACCAAUUGCGAAGGCAGGUUACUACUAAUAUAUUGACGCUGAUGGACGAAAGCGUGGGUAGCGAACAGGAUUAGAUACCCUGGUAGUCCACGCCGUAAACGAUGGAUACUAGCUGUUGGGAGCAAUCUCAGUGGCUAAGCGAAAGUGAUAAGUAUCCCACCUGGGGAGUACGAACGCAAGUUUGAAACUCAAAGGAAUUGACGGGGGCCCGCACAAGCGGUGGAGCAUGUGGUUUAAUUCGAUGAUACGCGAGGAACCUUACCAAGGCUUAAAUGUAGUUUGACCGGUU
RNAcentral lists this ribosomal RNA (969 nucleotides) under uncultured bacterium. RNAcentral describes it as "bacterial SSU rRNA". It matches the Rfam family "Bacterial small subunit ribosomal RNA", at positions 28 to 1001 of the family's 1533-position model. The record is from RNAcentral.